Molecule: long non-coding RNA, 2100 nt
Filed under: Brassica napus (rape)
Lineage: Eukaryota; Viridiplantae; Streptophyta; Magnoliopsida; Brassicales; Brassicaceae
Description: long non-coding RNA (BNAP_LNC005525)
Source: RNAcentral
CAGAAGGCCUUGGCUGUGUUUAAACAGUCCAAAGGUGAGAAUCAUUCCUCGGUUGCUUCGGUCUACGUCAGGCUUGCUGAUCUAUACAACAAGAUAGGGAAGCUGAGAGAUUCGAAGUCCUACUGCGAAAACGCGCUAAGGAUAUACCUAAAGCCGUCUCCGGGGACUCCGAUGGAAGAGGUGGCGACGGGUUUUGUAGAGAUCUCCGCGAUUUAUCAGUCGAUGAACGAGCUUGACCAAGCGCUUAAGCUGCUGAGACGCGCGUUGAAGAUAUAUGUGAAUGCUCCGGGUCAGCAGAACACGGUUGCUGGUAUUGAGGCUCAGAUGGGUGUGAUCUCUUACAUGAUGGGGAACUAUCCUGAGUCUUAUAACAUCUUCAAGAGCGCGGUUUCGAAGUUUCGAAACAGCGGAGAGAAGAAGACGGCUAUGUUUGGGAUUGCUUUGAACCAAAUGGGACUUGCGUGCGUCCAACGUUACGCGAUCAACGAAGCUGCGGAUUUGUUUGAAGAGGCGAAAGGCAUUCUUGAGAAUGAGUAUGGGCCGUACCAUCCCGACACGUUGGCGGUUUACAGUAACCUUGCCGGAACAUACGACGCAAUGGGCAGGUAUAUUACUAACACAUCUUUUUAGUUUAGGUUAUGUUUUUGAAGUUUCUUGCGGUGUAAGCAAUGUGUUUUUUGGUUUGUAGGUUAGAGGAUGCGAUAGAGAUACUAGAGUAUGUUGUUGGGACAAGAGAGGAGAAGCUUGGGACGGCGAAUCCGGAGGUUGAGGAUGAGAAGCAGAGGCUAGCUGCGUUGUUGAAAGAAGCUGGAAGAGGAAGGAUCAAAAGAAACAGAGCACUUCUUACAAUCUGGAGCUGAGGCAUCUCGUGGGAGGAGAUGUCGGAGAGAGAAAAAAAGACGUUGUCUUGGAGAAGAAGGAAGAAAGCAACAAGGAAAGUAAAAACAGAGAAGGUAGCUUGAGCCACAAGAAACCAGAGAAACUUGCGAAAACAAGCCCUAAUUCGAAAAUCCCUGGUUCGAGGAUCUCUUCGAGGAAAUCUCCAGAUCUCAGGAAGGUGUCUGUAGAUGAAGAGAGUCCUGAGCUAGGACCGUUGUUAUUAAAGCAAGCGAGAGAGAUGGUUUCAUCCGGCGAGAACCUAAACAAAGCUCUUGAUUUAGCGUUACGUGCGGUGAAAGCUUUCGAGAAACGCGCCGAAGGAGAGACGCAACAAGGGUUGAAUCUGGUCAUGUCUCUACAUAUAUUGGCAGCUACCUACGCCGGUUUAGGCAAGUACAACGAAGCGGUUCCCGUUCUCGAACGGUCCAUCGAGAUACCGAUGAUAGAAGACGGAGAGGACCACUCCUUAGCUAAAUUCGCAGGGUGCAUGCAGCUCGGCGACAUGUACGGCCUAAUGGGCCAAGUCGAAAACUCUCUUCUCCUCUACACAGCGGGUUUGGAGAUACAAAGACAAGUUCUCGGAGAAACAGACCCACGAGUGGGCGAAACUUGUCGGUACCUAGCAGAAGCACACGUCCAAGCGAUGCAGUUCGAAGAAGCCUCAAGGCUUUGCCAAAUGGCUUUAGACAUACACAAAGAGAACGGCUCCACAGCUACAGCUUCCAUCGAAGAAGCCGCGGAUAGAAAACUAAUGGGCCUUAUCUGCGACGCCAAAGGUGACUACGAGGUGGCCCUCGAGCAUUACGUUCUAGCCAGCAUGGCUAUGUCCUCACAGAACCAUAGAGAAGACGUUGCGUCUAUAGAUUGUAGUAUCGGUGACGCCUACAUGUCUCUAGCUAGGUUUGACGAGUCGAUAUUCUCGUACCAGAAGGCCUUGGCUGUGUUUAAACAGUCCAAAGGUGAGAAUCAUUCCUCGGUUGCUUCGGUCUACGUCAGGCUUGCUGAUCUAUACAACAAGAUAGGGAAGCUGAGAGAUUCGAAGUCCUACUGCGAAAACGCGCUAAGGAUAUACCUAAAGCCGUCUCCGGGGACUCCGAUGGAAGAGGUGGCGACGGGUUUUGUAGAGAUCUCCGCGAUUUAUCAGUCGAUGAACGAGCUUGACCAAGCGCUUAAGCUGCUGAGACGCGCGUUGAAGAUAUAUGUGAAUGCUCCGGGUCAGCA